UGGAGAGUAAGCUGACGACGGACUGUACUUGGCAGACUGAGGAUUAUAGCUUGGAGAUGUAGGGCUGUAACUGGGCGAGGUUGGACUAUAACUGGGAGAGGUUGGGCUGUAACCAGGAGAAGUUGGGCUGUAGGCUGGCGAGGUAGGGCUGUAGGAUGGAGAUGUGGGGCUGUAGGAGGGAGAAGUUGGGCUGUAGGAGGGCGAAGUUGGGCUGUAGGAGGGCGAAGUUGGGCUGUAUGAAGGAGACGUGGGACUGUAAGAUGGGGAAGUGGGGCUAUAUGCAGGGGAAGUGGGGCUGUAAGCGGGGGAAGUGGGGCUGUAAGCAGGGGAAGUGGGGCUGUAGCUUGGUGAGGUGGGACUGUAGCUUGGUGAGGUGGGGCUGUAGCUGGGAGAGGUUGGUGAGUAUGAUGGACUCGUAGGAGAGUAAGCUGGACUGGUGGGACUAUAGCCAGGAGAACUAGGACUAUAUGUCGGAGAGGUGGGACUGUACCCAGGAGAAGUGGGGCUAUACCCUGGUGAGGUGGGACUGUACCCAGGAGAAGUGGGGCUGUAUCCAGGCGAGGAAGGGCUGUAUCCAGGGGAUGAUGGGCUGUAGCCUGGAGAGGAAGUAGGAGAGAAUGCCAUUCCUCCAACAUAUGGAGAAAACUGAGCAUCUGAAAUUGGCGACAACCGAAGAUUUGGGCUCAACAAAUAAUUAGGGGACAUCAUG
This 709-nucleotide long non-coding RNA is filed under the name Malus domestica (apple). Its description in RNAcentral is "long non-coding RNA (MDOM_LNC001508)". Lineage: Eukaryota; Viridiplantae; Streptophyta; Magnoliopsida; Rosales; Rosaceae. The record is from RNAcentral.